This is a non-coding RNA of Rattus norvegicus (Norway rat), 63 nucleotides long. NCBI's taxonomy places the organism in Eukaryota, Metazoa, Chordata, Mammalia, Rodentia, Muridae. The record is from Rfam.
GGGGAUUUAGCUUAGUGGUAGAGCGCUUGCCUAGCAAGUGCAAGGCCCUGGGUUCAGUCCCCA